Small nucleolar RNA from Equus asinus (donkey), 63 nucleotides. Ensembl annotates it as small nucleolar RNA, C/D box 48. The record is from Ensembl. NCBI's taxonomy places the organism in Eukaryota, Metazoa, Chordata, Mammalia, Perissodactyla, Equidae.
GACAAUGAUGACUCCAGGUGACUCUGAGUGUGUCGUUGAGGACAUCACCGCAGCGCGCUGACC